Molecule: long non-coding RNA, 982 nt
Filed under: Gossypium barbadense (sea-island cotton)
Lineage: Eukaryota; Viridiplantae; Streptophyta; Magnoliopsida; Malvales; Malvaceae
Description: long non-coding RNA (GBAR_LNC014451)
Source: RNAcentral
GACGGAAUUGUUUGUCCGUUUAAGGUUUGAUUAUGUUACCAACACAACAAGCAAAGGUUUAUAAUCAAAUUUCAAUUUGGUUAAGACUUUAUUUAGCAUUACUUUUGAAAAGUGCUUUUAAGCCCCAAAAGUACAUUUAGAACUAUAAGUAAGGCUAAAUAUACAAAAUUUGAAGUUAAAAGUAUUUUUAAACCCAAAUGCAAUGUAACACCCUAUUUUGGCUCGGGUCUAAAAAGCCCAAACUACAACAGGCCUAUAGGGCCCAAAUCCAAACCAAACAGAGGCCAAAAAAAUUAACCCCCAGAUGACACUCAGAAACCCUAGGGUUUCAACAGCGCCGCAGCCACGAGCCUCGCGCGAUCCUCACCUGCAAGAAACAAACAGCAAAAAGGAAAGAAAUCAAAGAUUUGCACAUCAAAUAGGAUCAAAAAGAUACACUUCUUGAUUUGUUAUUCUUAUUUCAGCUAUAUAAAGCCACUGAAUGUACUGUAACGAGGAUCGGAAUUCGAAAUCAAUUAAAGAAAACAAUUACUUUCACAACCAAAAACAAAGAAAUCAAAUACCGAAAAAGCAGAAAAUCGAUCCAAAGGUCUACAUUUUUUUGCUUACUUUCGUUUACUGUUUUUUUUUUUGUUUAUAUUUUUAUUUUACUAAAAUAAAUAAGAGAAGGAAAGAAAUAACUUGUGUUUUGAGCCCAAAUCGCCGUGAACGGCCGAGGAAGCCGUCUCCGAGGAAAGACGGCAGGAAACCGAAAGAUUUCUUGGACUUUUGAGGCGUUUCUACUAAUCUUUUAAGGGUUUUGAGCCCGGAUUUGCGUUUAGGGGCUUCGGAAAGACCGGAUCUGAGAUUCUCCCCUUUUUCGGCCACCGCAGACGGCAGUGCCGUCGCCGAAGAUCGGCGGCUGGAGCGGUGACCAACGAUCAGCCGGUGCCUGGACCUAGGCCGGAGAACUGAGGGGUUGAGAGCUUUUUUUGGAUUUUUU